GUGGGGAAUCUUAGACAAUGGGCGCAAGCCUGAUCUAGCCAUGCCGCGUGAGUGAUGAAGGCCUUAGGGUCGUAAAGCUCUUUCGCUGGGGAAGAUAAUGACGGUACCCAGUAAAGAAACCCCGGCUAACUCUGUGCCAGCAGCCGCGGUAAUACGGAGGGGGUUAGCGUUGUUCGGAAUUACUGGGCGUAAAGCGCGCGUAGGCGGAUUGGAAAGUUGGGGGUGAAAUCCCGGGGCUCAACCCUGGAAUGGCCUUCAAAACUCCCAGUCUUGAGGUCGAGAGAGGUGAGUGGAAUUCCGAGUGUAGAGGUGAAAGUCGUAGAUAUUCGGAGGAACACCAGUGGCGAAGGCGGCUCACUGGCUCGAUACUGACGCUGAGGUGCGAAAGCGUGGGGAGCAAACAGGAUUAGAAACCCCGGUAGUCC
RNAcentral lists this ribosomal RNA (425 nucleotides) under uncultured bacterium. RNAcentral describes it as "partial 16S ribosomal RNA". It matches the Rfam family "Bacterial small subunit ribosomal RNA", at positions 354 to 796 of the family's 1533-position model. The record is from RNAcentral.